This is a long non-coding RNA of Xiphophorus hellerii (green swordtail), 898 nucleotides long. RefSeq lists it as uncharacterized. Lineage: Eukaryota; Metazoa; Chordata; Actinopteri; Cyprinodontiformes; Poeciliidae. The record is from RefSeq and is a predicted model, not a curated record. The transcript has 4 exons.
GUUUGGAGCAGGAUUUAGUCAUUUCUUCUGUUGGCAUCUGAAAAUCAGCUCUUCUUUCUCUGAUCCAACUGUGUUUAAAUUUCCAGCAUAAUGGCAGCAGCAGACGUACCUGGAGCCACCAAAGGACUGCUUCUCAUCUUCACUCUGUUUACACUGGUUCAUGUCACACACUCACUGGAAUCAAAGCAAAAUCUGGAAAUUCUCACAAAAUAUUAUCAAGGUGGAUUGAAUGAAGCAGCCAAAAAGAAGGCACAGCUGGACAAUGGGCUUACACGUUUUAUAGAAGAUUUUCAGGAAGAUGUUGACGAGAUUUUUCUUGUUGUAAAGCGACUGAAAGUCAUAGCAGAGAAGAACCUUUACCUGAGCGAACUCCCCACUGUGGUCGAUAACUUUUUAAAUGAAAGGAUUCAACAGGCCAAUAAUGAUAUAAAGGCUUAUGAAAAGGAAAUGCAGGACAUCUGGGACUUUGUAAACCACGAAGAAAGCAAUCUUGGCAAGCUUAAUCAGAGCUUAUUCUAAAAUUAAAUUCUUUCUCUUCUGUUUUGUUUGUUUUUAUGAGAAAAAUCUAGAAUAAAUGACAAGUUGUAUGUUAGCUGAUCAAGGUGUUCCUUGCCAGUUGGUGAUUCUGUUUCUUUUUAAUAAAACUAAAUAUGCAGCUUUAAAUUAAAACUGAAGGAUCUGAAGAAUUGCUUGGCAUUGGGUUGCACAGACUCAAAUUUGUGAAGUGGUUUUGUAUUUCUUCUGGUCGGUCCAUCAAUGCAGAAAGUUCAAAAAUCAAAGCAGGUCAACUUCUUACACAAAGUUAAGAUACAGGUUUGGGAUAAAUUAUAUGCAAUGCAAUAAUGUGACACUGUGUAGUUUUACUUUUCUGAUUACCAAUAAAGAUGUCAACAAAUCA